Molecule: ribosomal RNA, 106 nt
Filed under: Dalatias licha (kitefin shark)
Lineage: Eukaryota; Metazoa; Chordata; Chondrichthyes; Squaliformes; Dalatiidae
Description: partial 16S rRNA
Source: RNAcentral
ACAUUACAACUAGCCUAACCAUCGUAUAAACACAACCCUAUCAAUUAUACUUAUACAUUUAUUAUUAAAUUAAAACAUUUUAUACCUUUUAGUAUGGGUGACAGAA